This is a long non-coding RNA of Zophobas morio, 525 nucleotides long. RefSeq lists it as uncharacterized. The record is from RefSeq and is a predicted model, not a curated record. The transcript has 2 exons. NCBI's taxonomy places the organism in Eukaryota, Metazoa, Arthropoda, Insecta, Coleoptera, Tenebrionidae.
UUUGUUUUUUUUUAAUUUUCGAAAGAAAACUGUCAUCAAAUUGGACAAUAAAACCGUUCGGUCCAAGAAUGUUCCGCCUUGAAGCAAUUUUUGUUUCAGCCUUGAUCAUUCUGCUGUGUCUAGCACCAUCUGAGAAAACGGAACCCACAGAAUGUUACUAUUGCGACGGUAAAUGCACGGAUCCUAUUAAAACACAAAAAUGCGGAUCUUCUUAUCAUAAUAAUCCCAACAGAACAUACCUGUGUGUGACUAAAAACCGCAUAUCUUCCGUCAAGGGUCUAGUAGUCGAAAAAGGAUGCUUUUAUAUGGGUAGUUUUUUCAUGAACGCGUGCUUUAACGAUUCAGACAUGGUAUGCGUUCGCUGUGACACAGACCUUUGUAACACCGGACAAUUUCUGUAUUACACGGGACCGAAUUCUACUGGCACCAGUGUGCCACGAACAUCUUUAGAUUAUUAUACAUCGUCCUUCUUAUUGUCCAUUACAUUUCUUCUUGUGAUUUUACAAUAAAAUUUACAAUAACAAA